GGAGCAGUUGGUAGCUCAGUGGUUGAGUGCAUGCUUUGUGUGACGUCCUGGGUUCAAAUCCCAGCUGCUCCC
RNAcentral lists this transfer RNA (72 nucleotides) under Dallia pectoralis (Alaska blackfish). Its description in RNAcentral is "tRNA-OTHER". The record is from RNAcentral. Lineage: Eukaryota; Metazoa; Chordata; Actinopteri; Esociformes; Umbridae.